RNAcentral lists this ribosomal RNA (245 nucleotides) under uncultured bacterium. RNAcentral's name for it is "partial 16S ribosomal RNA". It matches the Rfam family "Bacterial small subunit ribosomal RNA", at positions 524 to 768 of the family's 1533-position model. The record is from RNAcentral.
UACGGGGGGUGCAAGCGUUGUUCGGAUUUAUUGGGCGUAAAGCGCGUGUAGGCGGUUUGGUCAGUCUGAUGUGAAAGCCCCGGGCUCAACCCGGGAAGUGCAUUGGAUACUGCCAGACUUGAAUACGGGAGAGGGCAGUGGAAUUCCUAGUGUAGGAGUGAAAUCCGUAGAUAUUAGGAGGAACACCGGUGGCGAAGGCGGCUGCCUGGACCGAUAUUGACGCUGAGACGCGAAAGCGUGGGUAG